UUGGUCGUUACGUUAAUUAUUAACUGUAAGUACCCUAACAGCAAAACCAUUCAUAUGUCGACUGUAAGUCGACUUUUCUAAGUCAGGCUUUCAGAGUUGACUGCAAGUCGACUUUGCAUAGACGUCUGCAGACGUUUUUCAAAAGUUGACUUUAAGACGUCUAGAAAAAGACAUUUUGAAAUCGACUCGACUGAGCGCCACUGUAGUGAGCGAGCACCGCUGUCACCGCUGCUGCAUGUAGCGCCAAGCGAGAGUCAUCAAGUUUCUUGCAAGAGUCAAUCCGCGUUGUUGUAAUCCUACCUGUCUGUCGGGUCUUGUGCUUAUUGAAUAAAGACUAUUAGCUGCAGCCGUUCGGACAUACAAAAUUCUCUUGUACUCUCCGCUAUUUUUUAUUAUCCAUCGGAGCGUGUGCAGCCAUACCGGUCAUGUGCGGCGAUUGCCAUUGUGAGCCGUUGUUGAGGGACAGACGAGUCGUGAAGUAAGACUAUAUUUUGAGAUCAGUGGUGCCGAAGCAGUUAAAAACACUGGAGAUAUGUGUAUCGAGAUUUCUCUGCCAAAGCAUUUCCAAUCCGUGGUAUUUAUGUCAGUGUCGAGGUUGAGUGGCACGAAAACUGGCAGAGUCAUAAAGAACUUUACGUGACGGAGAAAAGAAGCUACAACUGAACAUAUUUACUACAAAAAAGAACACAAGGAAUGUACUAGCAAUCAAGAUAAACAAAUUAUCCCUCAAUAUCUUGAGUAAAACAAAGUGACAUUCUUUAUCCACUAGAGAUUCGAGUUGCAGAAUGCAAAAUAAAAAAGAAUAUUUUAUCUUUGCAGCAUCUACAACAAAGGAUCCAUUUCUUAAAAAGUUAGCUAAGUUCUAUAAUUUAUAUAGAAAGAACAUUUUACAUUGACAUUGUAUAAAUUUAGAAUCUAUACAUGUAUACAGGAUAUUUAACGAGAGGUGAGAAAUAAAGAUUUUUUUUCCUAUGUGACGUCCAUUAAUAAAAUAUAGUUAAAAGUUUUUAUUAUUAUUUUUAUUAUUAUUUUUCUUAACAAAUGCAUCUGUAUACAAUAGUAAUAUUAGAGAUAAUUUUGUAUACAUUAAGUUAUUGUGAUAUACAUAUACACACACAAAGUUAAACAAAUGCGCACAAUACAUAUACACAGAUAUACACAUUUAUAUUUGCUUUACAUAUUAUAACAAUUUUUUUUUUUUUUUUUUAAAUAAAACGAAUCAAACAAGUAAAAAAUGUUAUAACAUAUUUUCCCAAUUUCAAUAUUCCUUCCUUUACAACUGCAUAGAAUGUCUGUAGGAUGGCUAACUAUAGUCGACUUAUAGUUGUCUUCAAAUGUAUGACUUAAAGACGUCUCUAAAAGUCGACUUAUAGUUGUCGAUUAAAGUGGGACAUUGUAUGACUAAUAGACGUCUUUAAGUCGUCUAAAGUCGAUUUAUGGACGUCCAUUUUCCAGACGUCUAGCAGUUAUGGCCGACUCAUAAUCGACUUAAAGUCGACUUUGUGCUGUUAGGAAGUAGAGAGCACACAAGGAUGAGACAUUGGAAGCCUUUGCAAGAAGGUGAUAUACUCAAUGUUAAUAUAACAGUAAUGUAAUAGAAGAGACAACAAAUAAACACAAUUUGAAUGUAAUACCUGCACUUUUGGGUCGUGGUAUCGGAACUUACUUUCAUGGUGCUCCAGACAUUUAUCACUUCGGUACAGUGAAAAUAUUUUGUUACUAUCAAUAUUAACGCGCAUUGGCAUAUGACUAAUAGAAAUUAUCUAAUUCCAAUUUAUAGAUCAAAUAUAUCUUGCUUUUAAAAUAAAUUUCUACAUAACUGUAAA
Molecule: RNA transcript, 1826 nt
Organism: Solenopsis invicta (red fire ant)
Lineage: Eukaryota; Metazoa; Arthropoda; Insecta; Hymenoptera; Formicidae
Gene name: methionine aminopeptidase 1D, mitochondrial-like
Exons: 5
Source: RefSeq, a predicted model, not a curated record